AGAGUUUGAUCCUGGCUCAGCGCGAACGCUGGCGGCAUGGUUAAAGCAUGCAAGUCGAACGCGAAAGCAACUUCGGUUGCAAGUAGAGUGGCGAACGGGCGCGUAAUGCGUUUCUAACGUACCCCAAGGUCAGGGAUAGCUCACCGAAAGGUGGGGUAAUACCUGAUAAUCCCAUUUUGACGCAUGUCAUAAUGGGCAAAGGCUUGCUUCCUUGGGAUCGGGAAACGUAGUAUCAGGUUGUUGGUGGGGUAAUAGCCUACCAAGCCGAAGACGGGUAGCGGGUGUGAGAGCAUGACCCGCCGCAUCGGGACUGAGACACUGCCCGGACUCCUACGGGAGGCUGCAGUAACGAAUCUUCCGCAAUGCGCGAAAGCGUGACGGAGCAAUGCCGCGUGCAGGAUGAAGGCCCUCGGGUUGUAAACUGCUGUCAGAGUUAAGGAAUAACUGACCAGACUCAAAGGAAGGGCCGGCUAACUUCGUGCCAGCAGCCGCGGUAAUACGAAGGGCCCGAGCGUUAAUCGGAAUCACUGGGCUUAAAGCGUACGCAGGCGGACUAGUAAGUACUUUGUGAAAUCCCUCGGCUCAACCGAGGAAGUGCUUGGUAUACUGCAUAUCUUGAGGUCGGUAGGGGCUGUCGGAACUAUAGGUGUAGCGGUGAAAUGCGUAGAUAUCUAUAGGAACGCCAAUGGCGAAGGCAGACAGCUGGGCCGAUUCUGACGCUGAGGAACGAAAGCGUGGGGAGCAAACAGGAUUAGAUACCCUGGUAGUCCACGCCGUAAACGAUGUGCACUAGGUCCUGGAGGUUUGACGGCGUUCGGUGCCGAAGUUAAAACGAUAAGUGCUCCGCCUGGGGAGUACGGUCGCAAGGCUAAAACUCAAAGGAAUUGACGGGGGCUCACACAAGCGGUGGAGCAUGUGGCUUAAUUCGAAGCAACGCGAAGAACCUUAUCCUGGAUUUGACAUGUAUGGAUUAGCUCUGUGAAAGCAGAGUGACGCCCUUUGGGUGGAACAUACACAGGUGCUGCAUGGCUGUCGUCAGCUCGUGCUGUGAAGUGUUGGGUUAAGUCCCUUAACGAGCGAAACCCUUAUCUUUAGUUGCCAGCGCGUAAUGGCGGGGACUCUAGAGAGACUGCCGGUGUUAAACCGGAGGAAGGCGGGGAUGACGUCAAGUCCUCAUGGCCUUUAUGUCCAGGGCUGCACACGUGCUACAAUGGGAACUACAAAGUGAAGCGAUACAGUAAUGUGGAGCAAAUCGCAUAAAAGUUUCCUCAGUUCGGAUUGUGGUCUGCAACUCGACCACAUGAAGUUGGAAUCGCUAGUAAUCGCGUAUCAGCUACGACGCGGUGAAUACGUUCCUGAGCCUUGUACACACCGCCCGUCAAGUCAUGGAAGCUGGAAGCACCCGAAGUGGCCCUGAAUCAAGGGUCCCUACGGCAAGCUCGGUGACUGGGACUAAGUCGUAACAAGGUAACC
Molecule: ribosomal RNA, 1473 nt
Filed under: uncultured prokaryote
Description: partial 16S ribosomal RNA
Rfam family: Bacterial small subunit ribosomal RNA
Source: RNAcentral